Molecule: long non-coding RNA, 1331 nt
Filed under: Homo sapiens (human)
Lineage: Eukaryota; Metazoa; Chordata; Mammalia; Primates; Hominidae
Description: PREDICTED lncRNA (TCONS_00146175)
Source: RNAcentral
CGGAGCCCGGAGCUCGGCCCCUGACGAGCCCGAACUCGUCAACUUCCUGUCGGUACUUGAAGAAGCGGAGCCAGGGCUGAGAUCCCGAAGGCGGGCGAGGUCUGGGAUGGGGCGGGGCCUAUGGGAGCGGGGCUGAAGCCCUGGGCCCGGCAGAGGAAGGUCGAGAUGGACCAUGUUGGGCCCCUUCUCUCCCCGCCCCCAGGCCGCAGUUCGGGGGCCACGCCCCGGCGUGCUCGGGUCACCGCGGGAAGCCCUUGAACCCCCUGGCGCCCGGCACCCACGUGCGGUAACCGCGGCUCCUCGAGAGCUCCAGGGAUGCGGAUCUACAGUAAGGGCUGUGGCCAGAUGAAUGAAUGCACAUUUUUUAGUGGGCAGAAAGAUGUUAGAAUUCAUGAAUUAGAAUAAGCACAAAGGAGGGCGAGAGGGGAGGCCGUGGAAGCCGCAUUCCUCCCCUUGCCUUGGGCGCCCACCCCCGAAGGGGCGCGUCCCCUCCCUGCUCCACUGCACGUGGGUGUUUAACCAGGGGAUAUCCAGUGCCUCAAGCACCACGACCCGGGAGAAAACUGAGUUGAGAAGGUCUUCUAACAAGCCUUUUGCACACCUGCCAUGUAUUUUGUCAGGCCUUGGGGAUGAAGGUGAGAAAUUCGAGAAUCCCCGGAGAUAACACAUCAGCAAAUAGUGCGCAGGCAGAACAAGCUGUUGGAGGUGAGAGACACAGAGCAGAGAAGCACCCGCACCUGGAGAGUCAGGAGGGCCUCACAUCAGAACGCCUGAGCAAAUACAGUUUUGAAGGAUACUAAUUUUUUAAAAAGUUCAUUCACAUGAGUUAGACAAAGAGAAAGAAGCAGGACAUUCUAGGAAGAAGGAACGGCCCAGGCAAAAGCGACGCGUACAUUGGCGUGGGUCCAUUCAAGAAUUGUGCCCACAAUAUACCAGGCACUUGUCCAGACCUGCAUCGUCCAAUGCCCACCUCGACCUCCCAAAGUGUUGGGAUUAGAGGCGUGAGCCACCGCGCCCUGCCUGCAUGUGGCUAUUGAGAUGUGCUGUAUGAUACACACCGGACUUUGAAGACUCAGUGUGAAAAAUAAAAAGAAUUUUAAGAGGGGUGGGGGUCGAGGGGAGGCAGAGCAGUAGGACAAAUAGCUAAUGCACGCAGGGCUUAAAACCUAGACAACAGGUUGAUGGGUGCAGCAAACCACCAUGACACAUGUUUAUCUAUAUAGCACCUACAUGUUCUGCACUUGUAUCCUGGAACUUAAAAUUAGAAAAAAAAAAUAAUAAAAGCCAACAUGGCAUUCAUUACUGCCAAAAAAAUUAAAACACAUUGUUAA